UACGUAGGGGGCUAGCGUUGUCCGGAAUCAUUGGGCGUAAAGCGCGUGUAGGCGGCCCGGUAAGUCCGCUGUGAAAGUCGGGGGCUCAACCCUCGAAUGCCGGUGGAUACUGUCGGGCUUGAGUACGGAAGAGGCGAGUGGAAUUCCUGGUGUAGCGGUGAAAUGCGCAGAUAUCAGGAGGAACACCAAUUGCGAAGGCAGCUCGCUGGGACGUAACUGACGCUGAGACGCGAAAGCGUGGGGAGCAAACAGGAUUAGAUACCCUCGUAGUCC
Molecule: ribosomal RNA, 273 nt
Filed under: uncultured bacterium
Lineage: Bacteria
Description: partial 16S ribosomal RNA
Rfam family: Bacterial small subunit ribosomal RNA
Source: RNAcentral